GCUGGGUGCGGUGGCUCACUCCCGUAAUCCCAGAUGCUCAGGAGGCUAAGGCAGGAGGAUCGUGAGUUCAAAGCCAGCCUCAGCAAUGGUGACGUGCUAAGCAACUCAAUGAGACCCUGUCUCCA
Molecule: small RNA, 125 nt
Filed under: Marmota monax (woodchuck)
Lineage: Eukaryota; Metazoa; Chordata; Mammalia; Rodentia; Sciuridae
Source: RNAcentral